Molecule: transfer RNA, 72 nt
Filed under: Toxocara canis (dog roundworm)
Lineage: Eukaryota; Metazoa; Nematoda; Chromadorea; Rhabditida; Toxocaridae
Rfam family: tRNA
About the family: Transfer RNA (tRNA) molecules are approximately 80 nucleotides in length. Their secondary structure includes four short double-helical elements and three loops (D, anti-codon, and T loops). Further hydrogen bonds mediate the characteristic L-shaped molecular structure. tRNAs have two regions of fundamental functional importance: the anti-codon, which is responsible for specific mRNA codon recognition, and the 3' end, to which the tRNAs corresponding amino acid is attached (by aminoacyl-tRNA synthetases). tRNAs cope with the degeneracy of the genetic code in two manners: having more than one tRNA (with a specific anti-codon) for a particular amino acid; and 'wobble' base-pairing, i.e. permitting non-standard base-pairing at the 3rd anti-codon position.
Source: Rfam by way of RNAcentral
GGGGUAGUAGCUCAGUGGUAGAGCUUCUGGUUCGUACGCGGGAAGGCCUUGGUUCUAUUCCGGGCUGCUUUC